GACGAACGCUGGCGGCGUGCCUAAUACAUGCCAGUAGAACGCUGAAGGAGGAGCUUGCUUCUCUGGAUGAGUUGCGAACGGGUGAGUAACGCGUAGGUAACCUGCCUGGUAGCGGGGGAUAACUAUUGGAAACGAUAGCUAAUACCGCAUAACAGUAGAUAUCGCAUGAUAUCUACUUGAAAGGUGCAAUUGCAUCACUACCAGAUGGACCUGCGUUGUAUUAGCUAGUUGGUGAGGUAACGGCUCACCAAGGCGACGAUACAUAGGCGACCUGAGAGGGUGAUCGGCCACAAUGGGACUGAGACACCGCCCAGACCUCUACGGGAGGCAGCAGUAGGGAAUCUUCGGCAAUGGACGGAAGUCUGACCGAGCAACGCCGCGGGAGUGGAGAAGGUUUUCGGAUCGUAAAGCUCUGUUGUAAGAGAAGAACGAGUGUGAGAGUGGAAAGUUCACACUGUGACGGUAUCUUACCAGAAAGGGACGGCUAACUACGUG
RNAcentral lists this ribosomal RNA (495 nucleotides) under uncultured bacterium. Its description in RNAcentral is "partial 16S ribosomal RNA". It matches the Rfam family "Bacterial small subunit ribosomal RNA", at positions 28 to 507 of the family's 1533-position model. The record is from RNAcentral.